Molecule: transfer RNA, 73 nt
Filed under: Ailuropoda melanoleuca (giant panda)
Lineage: Eukaryota; Metazoa; Chordata; Mammalia; Carnivora; Ursidae
Rfam family: tRNA
About the family: Transfer RNA (tRNA) molecules are approximately 80 nucleotides in length. Their secondary structure includes four short double-helical elements and three loops (D, anti-codon, and T loops).
Source: Rfam by way of RNAcentral
GCCUGGCUGGCUCAGUGAGAAGAGCACAUGGCUCUUGACCUUGGGGUCAUGAGUUCAAGCCCCAUUAUGGGUA